AUCAGACAAACGCUUCCACCAAUAUGGUGACCGUCUGAGGCCUUCUGCUGAUCUCAGAGGUCCUCUCCUAAAUGCUGCCUGAAGAGGAUGAGGGUGGUGGUGGUCUCUGGGAGAAAAACAAAAAACAAAACAAACUAGAAAGUAAUGUCCCAGAGUCCCUGGCCAAGAGGCUUUUCCCGGGGCGCCGCACUCCGCGAGAGGUCCUGAGAAAGAGAGUGGACCGGGAAGAAACUGGAAGGUGGCAUGGAGGGCCAAAAAUGUGAACCUGACUCUAGAGCAGUCAAUGUGAUGGUUUUUAAAUGCAGGUGGGAAGAGUGAAGGGGGGAUGUCUUCUCCCACGUCUGGUUGGGAGACAGAUGCAUGGCCGGUGCGCUGGGGGUUGCAGGAAGACUGGGCCACGAGGGCGCGUGUGCAGGCAAAGCAUUUUGCACCUCCUGUUUAUCUUAGAAACGGGGCGGAGGGGGGUGGGUGGGGAGCGAUUGUUCUGCUUCCCGACAGGCAGAAGAAGUUGAAUAAAAUGGAGAGGCGGGCACACGCAAAAACAAAAACUGCUGCAGGCUCAGAGUCUUUCUCCUUGACCCGAAUUCCAAAUGGUGGGGGCUCUUCAUUUGCAAAGGACUCCGAUGUCUGAAGACCCCAGAGACAGCGGUCCUUCAGUGACGGCAAAAGCCGCGAUAGAGACCGUUAGAAUUGGGGCUUUUGGGGCAAAUGUAAUUAAUCUUUCAUUCGAGCAGCGGGGACCCAUUCCUUCUAGGCGUUGUCGUCUGCAUUGUAGUUCUCUGAGUUUCAUGUGCUCUUCCAGGCGUUUGCAAAAUAAUGGCUCAGGUCCCUUGCA
RNAcentral lists this long non-coding RNA (835 nucleotides) under Homo sapiens (human). Its description in RNAcentral is "HSALNT0316587". The record is from RNAcentral. Lineage: Eukaryota; Metazoa; Chordata; Mammalia; Primates; Hominidae.